AAACUACGAAAGGAAUUGACGGGGCCCGCACAAGCAGUGGAGUAUGUGGUUUAAUUCGACGCAACGCGAAGAACCUUACCAGGAUUUGACAUCCUCUGACCGCCCUGGAGACAGGGCUUCCCUUCGGGGCAGAGAGACAGGUGGUGCAUGGUUGUCGUCAGCUCGUGUCGUGAGAUGUUGGGUUAAGUCCCGCAACGAGCGCAACCCUUGUCAUUAGUUGCCAUCAUUUGGUUGGGCACUCUAAUGAGACUGCCGGUGACAAACCGGAGGAAGGUGGGGAUGACGUCAAGUCCUCAUGGCCCUUAUGGGUAGGGCUUCACACGUCAUACAAUGGUCGGUACAGAGGGUUGCCAAGCCGCGAGGUGGAGCCAAUCCCUUAAAGCCGAUCGUAGUCCGGAUCGUAGUCUGCAACUCGACUACGUGAAGUCGGAAUCGCUAGUAAUCGCGGAUCAGCAUGUCGCGGUGAAUACGUUCCCGGGUCUU
This 483-nucleotide ribosomal RNA is filed under the name uncultured Gelria sp. RNAcentral describes it as "bacterial SSU rRNA". It matches the Rfam family "Bacterial small subunit ribosomal RNA", at positions 903 to 1382 of the family's 1533-position model. The record is from RNAcentral. Lineage: Bacteria; Bacillati; Bacillota; Clostridia; Thermoanaerobacterales; Thermoanaerobacteraceae.